GCGCCUAUAGCUCAACUGGAUAGAGCACUUGACUUCGGAUCAAGGGGUUGUGGGUUCAAAUCCUGCUAGGCGCG
RNAcentral lists this transfer RNA (74 nucleotides) under Thermoflexales bacterium. RNAcentral describes it as "tRNA-Arg". It matches the Rfam family "tRNA". From Rfam's summary of the family: Transfer RNA (tRNA) molecules are approximately 80 nucleotides in length. Their secondary structure includes four short double-helical elements and three loops (D, anti-codon, and T loops). Further hydrogen bonds mediate the characteristic L-shaped molecular structure. tRNAs have two regions of fundamental functional importance: the anti-codon, which is responsible for specific mRNA codon recognition, and the 3' end, to which the tRNAs corresponding amino acid is attached (by aminoacyl-tRNA synthetases). tRNAs cope with the degeneracy of the genetic code in two manners: having more than one tRNA (with a specific anti-codon) for a particular amino acid; and 'wobble' base-pairing, i.e. permitting non-standard base-pairing at the 3rd anti-codon position. RNAcentral also lists the same sequence under 1 other name. Lineage: Bacteria; Bacillati; Chloroflexota; Thermoflexia; Thermoflexales. The record is from RNAcentral.